This 99-nucleotide transfer RNA is filed under the name Vibrio natriegens. Its description in RNAcentral is "tRNA-OTHER". Lineage: Bacteria; Pseudomonadati; Pseudomonadota; Gammaproteobacteria; Vibrionales; Vibrionaceae. The record is from RNAcentral.
GGUACAACAAUGGAAGUUGUAUAUAUUUAAGUAGUUGAUUUUAAAUGUUUUAAACUUGGUAGCUAGCAAUCGAGAGUUCGAAUCUCUCACUCACCGCCA